CCUACGGGUGGCAGCAGUGAGGAAUAUUGGUCAAUGGACGCAAGUCUGAACCAGCCAUGCCGCGUGCAGGAAGACGGCUCUAUGAGUUGUAAACUGCUUUUGUACGAGGGUAAACGCAGAUACGCGUAUCUGUCUGAAAGUAUCGUACGAAUAAGGAUCGGCUAACUCCGUGCCAGCAGCCGCGGUAAUACGGAGGAUUCAAGCGUUAUCCGGAUUUAUUGGGUUUAAAGGGUGCGUAGGCGGUCGGAUAAGUUAGAGGUGAAAUCCCGAGGCUCAACUUCGGAAGUGCCUCUGAUACUGUUCGGCUAGAGAGUAGUUGCGGUAGGCGGAAUGUAUGGUGUAGCGGUGAAAUGCUUAGAGAUCAUACAGAACACCGAUUGCGAAGGCAGCUUACCAGGCUACUUCUGACGUUGAGGCACGAAAGCGUGGGGAGCGAACAGGAUUAGAUACCCGGGUAGUC
This 460-nucleotide ribosomal RNA is filed under the name uncultured bacterium. Its description in RNAcentral is "partial 16S ribosomal RNA". It matches the Rfam family "Bacterial small subunit ribosomal RNA", at positions 338 to 795 of the family's 1533-position model. The record is from RNAcentral.